ACUCCUACGGGAGGCAGCAGUGGGGAAUAUUGGACAAUGGGCGAAAGCCUGAUCCAGUCAUGCCGCGUGUGUGAAGAAGGUCUUCGGAUUGUAAAGCACUUUAAGUUGGGAGGAAGGGCAGUAAGUUAAUACCUUGCUGUUUUGACGUUACCGACGGAAUAAGCACCGGCUAACUCUGUGCCAGCAGCCGCGGUAAUACAGAGGGGUGCAAGCGUUUAUCGGAAUUACUGGGCGUAAAGCGCGCGUAGGUGGUUUGUUAAGUUGGAUGUGAAAGCCCCGGGGCUCAACCUGGGAACUGCAUCCAAAACUGGCAAGCUAGAGUACGGUAGAGGGUGGUGGAAUUUCCUGUGUAGCGGUGAAAUGCGUAGAUAUAGGAAGGAACACCAGUGGCGAAGGCGACCACCUGGACUGAUACUGACACUGAGGUGCGAAAGCGUGGGGAGCAAACAGGAUUAGAUA
This 459-nucleotide ribosomal RNA is filed under the name uncultured bacterium. RNAcentral's name for it is "bacterial SSU rRNA". It matches the Rfam family "Bacterial small subunit ribosomal RNA", at positions 335 to 784 of the family's 1533-position model. The record is from RNAcentral.